RNAcentral lists this transfer RNA (67 nucleotides) under Stegodyphus mimosarum. It matches the Rfam family "tRNA". From Rfam's summary of the family: Transfer RNA (tRNA) molecules are approximately 80 nucleotides in length. Their secondary structure includes four short double-helical elements and three loops (D, anti-codon, and T loops). Lineage: Eukaryota; Metazoa; Arthropoda; Arachnida; Araneae; Eresidae. The record is from Rfam by way of RNAcentral.
GCCUUCGUGGUGUUAGCACACUCGGCUCGUAAUCGAAAGGUCCGUGUUUGAAAUCCCGGCGAGGGCA